GUAGGGAAUAUUGCACAAUGGGCGAAAGCCUGAUGCAGCAACGCCGCGUGCACGAUGAAGGCCUUCGGGUUGUAAAGUGCUUUUCGGGGAGAUGAGGAAGGACAGUAUCCCCGGAAUAAGGAUCGGCUAACUACGUGCCAGCAGCCGCGGUAACACGUAGGAUCCGAGCGUUAUCCGAAUUUACUGGGCGUAAAGCGCGUGUAGGCGGUCUGAUAAGUUGGAUGUGAAAGCUCCUGGCUCAACUGGGAGAGGUCGUUCAAUACUGUCAGACUAGAGGAUGGUAGAGGGAGGUGGAAUUCCCGGUGUAGUGGUGAAAUGCGUAGAUAUCGGGAGGAACACCAGUGGCGAAAGCGGCCUCCUGGGCCAUUCCUGACGCUCAGACGCGAAAGCUAGGGGAGCGAACGGGAUUAGAUACCCUAGUAGUCC
Molecule: ribosomal RNA, 426 nt
Filed under: uncultured bacterium
Lineage: Bacteria
Description: bacterial SSU rRNA
Rfam family: Bacterial small subunit ribosomal RNA
Source: RNAcentral